UAAGGAAUCUUCCACAAUGGGCGAAAGCCUGAUGGAGCAACGCCGCGUGCAGGAUGAAGGCCCUCGGGUCGUAAACUGCUUUUAUAAGUGAGGAUUAUGACGGUAACUUAUGAAUAAGGGUCGGCUAACUACGUGCCAGCAGCCGCGGUCAUACGUAGGACCCAAGCGUUAUCCGGAGUGACUGGGCGUAAAGAGUUGCGUAGGCGGUUUGUUAAGCGAAUAGUGAAAUCAUGUGGCUCAACCAUUAUGACUAUUGUUCGAACUGGCAAACUCGAGAGUAGUAGAGGUAACUGGAAUUUCUAGUGUAGGAGUGAAAUCCGUAGAUAUUAGAAGGAACACCAAUGGCGUAGGCAGGUUACUAGACUAUUUCUGACGCUGAGGCACGAAAGCGUGGGGAGCG
RNAcentral lists this ribosomal RNA (400 nucleotides) under uncultured bacterium. Its description in RNAcentral is "bacterial SSU rRNA". It matches the Rfam family "Bacterial small subunit ribosomal RNA", at positions 355 to 770 of the family's 1533-position model. The record is from RNAcentral.